ACGCUGGCGGCGUGCCUAAUACAUGCAAGUAGAACGCUGAAGGAGGAGCUUGCUUCUCUGGAUGAGUUGCGAACGGGUGAGUAACGCGUAGGUAACCUGCCUGGUAGCGGGGGAUAACUAUUGGAAACGAUAGCUAAUACCGCAUAAGAGUAGAUGUUGCAUGACAUUUGCUUAAAAGGUGCAAUUGCAUCACUACCAGAUGGACCUGCGUUGUAUUAGCUAGUUGGUGGGGUAACGGCUCACCAAGGCGACGAUACAUAGCCGACCUGAGAGGGUGAUCGGCCACACUGGGACUGAGACACGGCCCAGACUCCUACGGGAGGCAGCAGUAGGGAAUCUUCGGCAAUGGACGGAAGUCUGACCGAGCAACGCCGCGUGAGUGAAGAAGGUUUUCGGAUCGUAAAGCUCUGUUGUAAGAGAAGAACGAGUGUGAGAGUGGAAAGUUCACACUGUGACGGUAUCUUACCAGAAAGGGACGGCUAACUACGUGCCAGCAGCCGCGGUAAUACGUAGGUCCCGAGCGUUGUCCGGAUUUAUUGGGCGUAAAGCGAGCGCAGGCGGUUAGAUAAGUCUGAAGUUAAAGGCUGUGGCUUAACCAUAGUACGCUUUGGAAACUGUUUAACUUGAGUGCAAGAGGGGAGAGUGGAAUUCCAUGUGUAGCGGUGAAAUGCGUAGAUAUAUGGAGGAACACCGGUGGCGAAAGCGGCUCUCUGGCUUGUAACUGACGCUGAGGCUCGAAAGCGUGGGGAGCAAACAGGAUUAGAUACCCCUGGUAGUCCACGCCGUAAACGAUGAGUGCUAGGUGUUAGACCCUUUCCGGGGUUUAGUGCCGCAGCUAACGCAUUAAGCACUCCGCCUGGGGAGUACGACCGCAAGGUUGAAACUCAAAGGAAUUGAC
RNAcentral lists this ribosomal RNA (898 nucleotides) under uncultured bacterium. RNAcentral describes it as "bacterial SSU rRNA". It matches the Rfam family "Bacterial small subunit ribosomal RNA", at positions 33 to 914 of the family's 1533-position model. The record is from RNAcentral.